GAGACCACUUUCCAUCCGGUCUCCGACAGGAAGUUUUGGAAGAGGAUUUGAAAGCGUGGAGCUAUUGAAUACACAUCGCCUUGUGAUCAAUUUGAUAGAUUAUUAACGUUUACUAAUACCUAAAGUUGGAUUACAAAAGUAUUUCGAAGUGUUUUGUGAAAGUUUAUCGUCGACUUUUUUAAUUUAAAAAAAUGACCUAGCGUUUUGAAACUGUCUUUUUUUCUGAAUCACACAGUUUCCAUAGAUGGAUAUUUUGGGUAUACAUGGACCGAUUUAAUCGAAAAAAAGACCCAAUAGUGAUGUUAUGGGACAUAUAGGAGUGCCAACAAAGAAGCUCGUCCAAGUCCUGGGAAUUUGGGCCUUGUCCGGAGUAAGAAGAACAUCCACAGCAACUGACUCGUUGAAGUAGAGGUUGUCAUCCAAAUCGAGGUUUCCUGUCCUGCCAAUGACCCACUGCCAUUCAAAACACCAGGACAUAUCCACGUCUCCAGUUGACUAGAGAGAGGGAGAGAGAGAGAGAGAGAGAGAGAAUGUAAAUAAUGGGCAGCUCUCCCAGCAGCCCUGCUCCAGCCUCCUGCCUCAGUGAUAA
Long non-coding RNA from Oncorhynchus tshawytscha (Chinook salmon), 589 nucleotides. The record is from Ensembl. Lineage: Eukaryota; Metazoa; Chordata; Actinopteri; Salmoniformes; Salmonidae.